This 506-nucleotide ribosomal RNA is filed under the name Pristionchus americanus. Its description in RNAcentral is "SSU rRNA". It matches the Rfam family "Eukaryotic small subunit ribosomal RNA", at positions 452 to 984 of the family's 1831-position model. Lineage: Eukaryota; Metazoa; Nematoda; Chromadorea; Rhabditida; Neodiplogasteridae. The record is from RNAcentral.
UCAUUCGAGGAGGUAGUGACUAUCAAUAACGAGACAGAUCUCUUUGAGGUCUGUCAUUGAAAUGAGCACAACUUAAAGACUUUAACGAAGCUAUGGGAGGGCAAGUCUGGUGCCAGCAGCCGCGUAAUUCCAGCUCCCAACGUGUAUAUCGUCAUUGCUGCGGAUAAAAAAGCUCGUAGUUGGAUCUUAGCUUAUGACAGUAGUUCACCAUGUGUGAUACUGCGUGUCUCAGCUGUUUCGCCGGUUUUCCAUGGUUUCGGCCGUGGUGACUGGUGUUGUAACUUUGAUUAAAUCAAUGUGAUUAAAACAGGCGUUUGCUUGUAUGCUUUAUCAUGGAAUAAUAGAAUAUGACUUCGGUCCAUUCUGUUGGUCUUGGGAUCGAAGUAAUGAUUAAAAGGAACAACUCGGGGGCAUCCGUAUCGCUGCGUGAGAGGUGAAAUUCUUGGACCGCAGCGAGACGACCUAUUGCGAAAGAUUUGCCAAGAAUGUUUUCAUUAAUCAAGAAC